ACUCAAAGGAAUUGACGGGGACCCGCACAAGCAGUGGAGUAUGUGGUUUAAUUCGAAGCAACGCGAAGAACCUUACCAGGUCUUGACAUCCCUUUGAAUAUCCUAGAGAUAGGGUAGGCCUUCGGGACAAAGGAGACAGGUGGUGCAUGGUUGUCGUCAGCUCGUGUCGUGAGAUGUUGGGUUAAGUCCCGCAACGAGCGCAACCCUUAAACUUAGUUGCCAGCAUUAAGUUGGGCACUCUAGGUUGACUGCCGGUGACAAACCGGAGGAAGGCGGGGAUGACGUCAAAUCAUCAUGCCCCUUAUGACCUGGGCUACACACGUACUACAAUGGCCGGUACAGCGGGAAGCGAAGCCGCGAGGUGGAGCGAAUCCUAAUAAAAACGGUCUCAGUUCGGAUUGCAGGCUGCAACUCGCCUGCAUGAAGUCGGAAUUGCUAGUAAUCGCGGAUCAGCAUGCCGCGGUGAAUACGUUCCCGGGUCUUGUACACACCGCCCGU
RNAcentral lists this ribosomal RNA (498 nucleotides) under uncultured bacterium. Its description in RNAcentral is "bacterial SSU rRNA". It matches the Rfam family "Bacterial small subunit ribosomal RNA", at positions 899 to 1397 of the family's 1533-position model. The record is from RNAcentral.